GAAACCAACAGGGAUUGCCUUAGUAACGGCGAGUGAAGCGGCAACAGCUCAAAUUUGAAAUCUGGCCCUCGGGUCCGAAUUGUAAUUUGUAGAGGAUGAUUUUGGUGCGGUAUCUUCCGAGUUCCUUGGAACAGGACGCCUUAGAGGGUGAGAGCCCCGUACGGUUGAAUAGCCCAGCCUCUGUAAAUCUCCUUCGACGAGUCGAGUAGUUUGGGAAUGCUGCUCUAAAUGGGAGGUAAAUUUCUUCUAAAGCUAAAUAUUGGCCAGAGACCGAUAGCGCACAAGUAGAGUGAUCGAAAGAUGAAAAGCACUUUGAAAAGAGGGUUAAAUAGCACGUGAAAUUGUUGAAAGGGAAGGAUUUGUGACCAGACUUUUUCUUGGCGGAUCAUCCGGGGUUCUCUCCGGUGCACUUCGCCCAGUAAAGGCCAGCAUCGGUUUUCGGCGGGGGAUAAAAGCAGUAGGAAUGUGGCUCUCUACGGGAGUGUUAUAGCCCACUGUAUAAUACCGUGCUGGGGACCGAGGAUCGCGCUUCUGCAAGGAUGCUGGCGUAAUGGUUGUCAAUCACCCGUCUUGAAACACGGACCAAGGAGUCGAACAUUUGUGCGAGUGUUUGGGUGUUAAACCCUCACGCGUAAUGAAAGUGAACGGAGGUGAGAGCCCUUACGGGUGCAUCAUCGACCGAUCCUGAAGUUUUCGGAUGGAUUUGAGUAAGAGCAUAACUGUUCGGACCCGAAAGAUGGUGAACUAUGCGUGGAUAGGGUGAAGCCAGAGGAAACUCUGGUGGAGGCUCGCAGCGGUUCUGACGUGCAAAUCGAUCGUCAAAUCUGCGCAUGGGGGCGAAAGACUUAUCGAACCAUCUAGUAGCUGGUUACCG
RNAcentral lists this ribosomal RNA (874 nucleotides) under Pestalosphaeria sp. HKUCC 8677. RNAcentral's name for it is "LSU rRNA". It matches the Rfam family "Eukaryotic large subunit ribosomal RNA", at positions 61 to 960 of the family's 3401-position model. Lineage: Eukaryota; Fungi; Ascomycota; Sordariomycetes; Amphisphaeriales; Amphisphaeriaceae. The record is from RNAcentral.